CUGUAGAAGUACUAGCAGGUGGACUGUUACCUUUGGACUGAGCCAGGCUCUUUGCUUCCCAGUUUCCCUUCUCAUGCUAAGCUAAGCUAAGCUAAUCUAAAUGGCUGCUGGGGUUAGCUUCCAAUUUCUCACAGCAGCUGUUUGGUCGAGCUUUACCACCUACGGACAAUCCAGUCUACAACAACGUGUCAGACCAUGGCAGACUGGGAAGCAACCAGUGGACAUGAUAUAUCCCACCAGCAGAGGGCGAAGUGGUGAAUUGCUCCACAAGGUCAACAAGGCUGUAGGUGUCCUAAUCUGACUUGGAGGAAUGAGGGAUUUCAUCAGGUCCAUUUCCCAAUGACGGCAGGAGUCUUCCUCUUUGAGUCUCAUCAGCCUUCAUCUUUCUCAUCCAUUCUGCUUGAAUAUAUAUCAUUAAAUUAGAGCAUUUCUAUUUAUUCAUCAUG
Long non-coding RNA from Toxotes jaculatrix (banded archerfish), 446 nucleotides. RefSeq lists it as uncharacterized. The record is from RefSeq and is a predicted model, not a curated record. The transcript has 2 exons. Lineage: Eukaryota; Metazoa; Chordata; Actinopteri; Toxotidae.